This 253-nucleotide ribosomal RNA is filed under the name uncultured bacterium. RNAcentral describes it as "partial 16S ribosomal RNA". It matches the Rfam family "Bacterial small subunit ribosomal RNA", at positions 524 to 776 of the family's 1533-position model. The record is from RNAcentral.
GACGAGCCACACAAGCGUUAUUCGGAAUUACUGGGCUUAAAGGGUGCGUAGGCGGCGUAGAAAGUUGGGUGUGAAAUCCCUCAGCUUAACUGAGGAAGGGCGCCCAAAACUACUAUGCUCGAGGGAGAUAGAGGAGUGCGGAACUUAGGGUGGAGCGGUGAAAUGCGUUGAUAUCCUAGGGAACACCGGUGGCGAAAGCGGCACUCUGGAUCUCUUCUGACGCUGAGGCACGAAAGCUAGGGUAGCAAACGGG